UACAGGGGGUGCAAACGUUGCUCGGAAUUAUUGGGCGUAAAGCGCGCGUAGGCGGCUACCUAAGUCGGAUGUGAAAGCCCCUGGCUUAACUGGGGAAGUGCACCCGAAACUGAGUAGCUAGAGUGCGAAAGAGGGUCGCGGAAUUCCCGGUGUAGAGGUGAAAUUCGUAGAUAUCGGGAGGAACACCAGUGGCGAAGGCGGCGAUCUGGGAAGAUACUGACGCUGAGGUGCGAAAGCGUGGGGGGCAAACAGG
RNAcentral lists this ribosomal RNA (253 nucleotides) under uncultured bacterium. RNAcentral's name for it is "partial 16S ribosomal RNA". It matches the Rfam family "Bacterial small subunit ribosomal RNA", at positions 524 to 776 of the family's 1533-position model. The record is from RNAcentral.